CCAGGGGUCCUCUAAAGUCCAAGGUGCUGUCUGGAUGUUAGGCUGGGGGCAGUGACCUGGUGUGAAGGUUGCAGGUGGGCCUCUAUUUAGAUGGAACCCAAGAGCGGAAGAGGGUUCUGCUGCUGAGAAAACGUUUGGUGAACUUCACUACCCACUCCUGAUUCACUGAACAUGGUCACGGAUAUUCCUUUCAUGGGAUAAAGAAAAUAGUGGCAGACUCGGCAAGGUGGAUAUGACACCAGGAGUUGUGGCAGUCAUGUUGUAACACUGAGGCAGAACACAUGAAAAAG
Long non-coding RNA from Cervus elaphus (red deer), 290 nucleotides. RefSeq lists it as uncharacterized. The transcript is spliced from 3 exons. The record is from RefSeq and is a predicted model, not a curated record. Lineage: Eukaryota; Metazoa; Chordata; Mammalia; Artiodactyla; Cervidae.